UUCAAAUUUUCUUGUAUUUUAUAGGCUGAAAUACAAGAGCUGGUACAGUCUGAGCCAUCUCUUACAAAUAUCGAGGUAAUAGAAAGGUGUUUCGGACCUCAAAACAAGAGUCAUGUGGUUGGAUUAGGGGGUGGUAUAACCACUAAGGAGUUGAAAGGCGGUAGCUCCUCAAAGGCUGCGAUCCUGAUUGAGCUAAAUGCAACUCGAAAAGAAAAAGAAUCACUACAAACCGAGCUGAAUGCAACUAAAAAAGCAAAAGACUCUCUGGAAAAAUGUAUGGACGACUUUGAGUCUAAGUAUGAUCAUCUUAUAAGCUUAUUGGUUGAUCAACCUUCAUCAACACCAUCUACAAGUCAACAAAGUACAAGUUGAAGUAUUUGACAGAUAAAGGGCCUGAAGUUUGAAGAAUCAUCCUUCAAGAGAGUUUCGAGCAAGUUGAAGCAUGUGGAAUUGUUGAAGAUCAAGGGAAAUCUAUUUUGUUUCAUUAGGAGUUGUAGUCAUCCGUACAAACUAUACUAUUUCGCUUUCUCUUUAGUUUUCUGUUUUCUUUAAGGAAUUGAAACAAAAGGAUCAUGCAAUUUGGAUGUAAUAUAUUAUUUGAUGUUUUAGUUCUUUAUAAUUAAAAAAGAUAUUUUAUGUCGAUA
Nicotiana attenuata is the source of this 644-nucleotide long non-coding RNA. RefSeq lists it as uncharacterized. The transcript is spliced from 2 exons. Lineage: Eukaryota; Viridiplantae; Streptophyta; Magnoliopsida; Solanales; Solanaceae. The record is from RefSeq and is a predicted model, not a curated record.